Molecule: ribosomal RNA, 463 nt
Filed under: uncultured bacterium
Lineage: Bacteria
Description: partial 16S ribosomal RNA
Rfam family: Bacterial small subunit ribosomal RNA
Source: RNAcentral
GACGAACGCUGGCGGCGUGCUUAACACAUGCAAGUCGAACGGAAAGGCCCUGCUUUUGUGGGGUGCUCGAGUGGCGAACGGGUGAGUAACACGUGAGUAACCUGCCCUUGACUUUGGGAUAACUUCAGGAAACUGGGGCUAAUACCGGAUAGGAGCUCCUGCUGCAUGGUGGGGGUUGGAAAGUUUCGGCGGUUGGGGAUGGACGCGCGGUUUAUUAGCUUGUUGGUAGGGUAGUGGCUUACCAAGGCGUGGAUGGGUAGCCGGGCUGAGAGGAUGAUCAGCCACACUGGGACUGAGACACGGCCCAGACUCGGACGGGAGGCAGGAGGGGGGAAUAUUGGAGAAUGGGCGAAAGCCUGAGCAAGCAAGGCCGCGGGAGUGAUGCAGGCCGUAGGGAAGCAAAGCUCUUUUACCCGGGAGGAUAAUGACAGUAACGGGAGAAUAAGCCCCGGCUAACUCCGUG